RNAcentral lists this transfer RNA (66 nucleotides) under Tingis cardui. Its description in RNAcentral is "tRNA-Asn". The record is from RNAcentral. Lineage: Eukaryota; Metazoa; Arthropoda; Insecta; Hemiptera; Tingidae.
UUAAUUGAAGCCAAAAUAGAGGCAGUUCAUUGUUAAUGAACAAAAUGAUAAAUUUAUCCAAUUAAA